Molecule: long non-coding RNA, 6832 nt
Organism: Ochotona curzoniae (black-lipped pika)
Lineage: Eukaryota; Metazoa; Chordata; Mammalia; Lagomorpha; Ochotonidae
Exons: 3
Source: RefSeq, a predicted model, not a curated record
GUGAGGGCGCGCUCCUCUCUUCCUGCUUUCCUGACCCCUCUCCGCCAUUUAAAGAAACAGUACCGGGGGGCGGGCCGAGCGACGCAGCCGGGACGGUAGCUGCCUCGCCGACCGGAGGAGCCAUCUUGUCUCGUCGCCCGGGGAGUCAGGCCCCUAACUCGAAGAAGCCCUGGCGCGCCCUCCCCCCCUCCCCGGUCUGGUAGGGCGAAGGAGCGGGCGCGCGGUCGAUCGAGCGAUCGGUUGGCGGCUCUUUCUCCUGCUCUGGCAUCCCGCUCUUGGGGCGCAGGCCCGGCCGCCGCCGCGGCGCGCGCCCGGUGGCCGUUGGCGGUCGCGCCGCGUCUUUCUUCUCGUCCGCAGAACUCGGGCGGCGGCCUAUGCGUUUGCGAUUCGCCGAGGAGUCGUCCGGGUGGUCGGCGGGGGCGGGCAGCUGCUCCGCCCCGCUGCCGGAGAGGCGGCGGCAGCAGCGGCGGCGGCGGCGGCUGCUGGGGAGGCGGGGGUGGCCGGGGCCGGCCUGGACGCCUGGCGUCAUCCUGCGGGGCCUGCAAGGACCCAGCUGGGGGGACAGGAAGGGGCCGGAGGAUGGUUGGUGGUCGGCUUUCUCCUUUGCCUUUUCCUCCUCAUGCCGCCUUAGUGAGGAGCGAGCGCUUUGGCGGCAGCUCCGGGGUGGAGAGACGAACGCCGGAGUCGGAAGACGAGCUGGCUUUGCUUCCGGGCCUGGUCCCCAGCUGGCCGAGUGACCUUAGGCCGGGCACUCUGUCGCCUGUGUGCGCCUCAGUUUCCUCCUCUGCCUAUCGUGUGUGGGAUUGAAAACGCUUUGGUCAUGGCAAAGCGGACGUGUACGUAAAAAAAAAAAAAAAGAAAAAAAAGAAAAAAAAAGAUCAUUGCUUGUGUUAAAAAUAUUUCUUUUUUGAGUUGUGAGAGAACUGACCAAUUGCCCCAUCCUCGGAUUUCGCACACCCUGAGAAACCUUGGAUUGGAGCUGGAGAUCCACAAACUCCUUGAAAUUUGUAUGCGGAAGUUUGUGCAGAUGUGCAUUCCUGAGGGGUUGGGGAGCCGUCGCUAGCAGGUUUUUCUCUGUGGGCCAUGACUCCAGAGGCUAUUAAGAGCCACAAUUCCUUGAUGCCACAGGGAGGAAACUGAGGCCUACGUGUCAUUUGGGACCCUUCGCAACCCAUUUAAACACCCUUGUUUGAGUCCCUGGGAUUAUGUGAGCUGUUUCUAUGCAUAACAGAUAUUGGGGGGUAACCAGUGCUCCCCUGCUUGGCUUCUAUUCCGAAUCCCUUCUUUCCGCCACGGGGUUCUUAAAGGGUAGCUGAUGCGUAUAUAUAUGGUACAGUAGCACCCAAGGUAAAGCAGCUACAAGAGGAGAGGAUAUGUUCUGUAGAAUCAAGAAGUUCGUUUAAUCUUCUUUGACCCAGCAAAUCCUUUGUGUUCCGCUGUUUAUACUGGUGCCUGACCACCUUUCCCCAUUCUUUAUUGACCUCCCUCCCCCCCAGUGACUGUGUUUGCCACCUGUUCCUUGCUCUUAUUUUGUCUCCCUGGUCUGUGUGGUUGGUAGUGAACAGGCUUACUUUCAGCGGGUGCUGCCAAGCCCAACAAAUACUGAUGCACGGGGAUUUUGUGUUUGGUUUGCAAACGUGCUCACUGGAACAGACUGAACCUGGCAUGGAAUUCCUGAAGAUGUGUUUGGGGGGGAUUUUCUUUAUUUAAAGUUAACCUUCUUUGAAAAGUUGUAUUAGAACUGCUGAACUUCAAGAUCACCAGAUUUGGAAGUUAUUCCAAAUCUUUAACUUUCCCUCAACCUGCCUUGUAUUCUUAUUGCUUGUGUGAUGAUUCAGAUGGCCAAAAUGCCAAUUUUUGCUUCUGUGUUAAUUGUCAGCUGCUUUUAUCAAAUUCCAGGCCAUUAUCCAGUAAACACUAUUACAAAAAUGUUUGAACGGUUGGAUUUCAAACAUUUUCACUUUGUGGAGUGGUGCUUAGCAAGUGGUACAGCUCUAAGCAAGUGAACACAGACACAUUUCAGUGUAUUUUGUCUGAUUGGAAAUUAGCCAAUUCUGCUAUUUUGUUCAAACAUCUGAAAAAAGUAUCAGUUGGCUUAUCCCCUUUAUCUAAAGGGCAAAGACAAAUUAUCUCAAUUCCAGAGAAAUGACUGUGUUGGAGAAAAAUGUGUUGGUCUUUUAGCUGUUUUGUAAUUUAAUCUGGAUGUACCUCAAAAGAACCUUAAAAGUGUGGUGAUAAGGUGCUUUCCUCAAGAGAAACGAGGAAAUAAGCAACUGGAACUCAAAAGCUUGAAAUUCUGAGACAGAACACAACAUGUCCAGGAUUGGGAUUUGAAAAGGUUUUUGCUGCAGCAUUCUACAGCAGUUGAAGCAGAUAUCUUUCAGUGCAGCCGCAGUGAGCAACGACAGAUUUUCAAGAACUUGACCCAGAACCCAGAAGAGUUUGUCGGGUACUGGCAGGAACUCUGGAGGUAGAUUCUUUUUGUGGCGGGAACAGGGACUGUUGACCUUGCUGUGAGAAAAGAAGCAACAACUGAGCAACACUGCCACCAGCGCCAUUUGAAGACCUGAGUUUCUGUCCAGACUCAGUGCACACUGAUGACACUCCAUCCAAAGUGAAUUACGUCAUGUGCCUCCUCUGAUUGCUGAGUGUUCACGUGGACCUUCUGAUCACCUUCCUUGUGCUGUUCCAUUGGCCUACAAAUCUGGUACUGGAUUUUUACCCAUGGUGAUUUCUACCACCUUACUACUGAUGAAGACACCAUUCCAGCGGACCACUGUGAUCCAAGAGGCAUUCAGCCAUCAUGAUGUGGCCUUUACCUCCACUCCUGUCUUGUUCCACACAGAUUCAGCACAGCCUUUUAUAGUCUUGUCAGAGUCCUCAAGCCAAAUAGCUGAAAUGAUUUCAUCACAAGGAACCAAUUUGUUGCAUAAAUAUGCAUUUCGUUUCUUCAGUUAAAUCCUUCAGAGACACAUAAGUUUGGAUCAGGGGAUUUUUUUUUUUUUUUAAGUUGUCUACGCUGUCCGAAGAAGGCAAACUCUGUGAACAGCAUUGGAUCCUAUUCCACAGUAUCAAAUGAUUGAAGUUCAUGAACUGGGAUUCCAUCAAGGUCACUAGACCCUGUUCAUUCUCUAUAACUGUAGUAGCCUAUUGAAUAAGAAAGCAGAAAUUCUGACCCAUUGGAAUCAAAACAAAGGCACAGUGAACUCAACACCCUCUUCGGGAUUACUCAGGAACCAGAACUGAUUUUCACACAAAUUAUAAGAAAUUCUACCAAGGAAUCCCUUUUGCCAGACAGCAUUUCACAAGCCUCCAAUCAGAUUCCAGAAAAGACCUCUUGAUACAUCAAGGUGAAACCUAUAUGCAUUUUGUGAACAGCUUACUCUUAGAUCAUUGGUUUUCCAAAGGCUUUGUAACCAUGAUGCCCUUUGAAUGAAAAGUUUACAGAAGCCCAGAAUAAAAGUGAAGCUCUUCUGGGUGAAGCAGUGAAGCAGUAAUGUGGCCUUGAAACCUGCCAAAAGCAUCUUUACCACCGUGGUGACACCUAUGGGGACUUCUUAGAACGUCUAAUACUCUUCAGAACACAGUUUGAAAACCACUGCCCUAAGAUAACAUUGUUGACCUGAAUGACAUUAUGAUGUUUUCUAUACCUCUACUCAACUUGCUCCUUGACUAGUCGAUGCUGUACAUUGUUAGGAAUACUUACUGUGUGCAAUCUUAGAAAAGUUGCAAGAAGAUGAACAUGAACUCAACAUUAAGGAACUUUUCUCACACCAGAAGUUCUAGUGGUACUUGCAGUAAUGACGUUGAAGUCUUGGCCCUUCAGGAUACUAGUAUUGAAGCUGAUACCUCAUUGAGGCCAUCUUAGACCAGCUUGUACAUUGGACCUCUCAUCAUCAGCCAUAGUACUCUACUUCAUGUGCAAGGGAGACCCAUUAAUGAUGAAAGCAGAAUUGCAGUGUUGGCAACAUUUUCUAAAGUGGCUUAAUGCCUGAUUAUUUUUUCAGACUACAACUUGCUACAUGAUUGAACUAGUGGCAGUUACACUAUUUUUUGUUCAGUUUAACUGCUGUUUCCAAGAUAAAUUACCUAAUUACUUUAAACCAAAAUAAUUCCUCCAUCACUGUUAUAUCUGUCCAUUCUACAAAAUUGUGGCUAUUCGUAACUGCUGCUCCUCAAGAGACAAUCUUUGAACAUCCCCUCUCACGUGUGAUUAAAAUGUACAUUUGGAAAGUUUCCUUUGGGAGAUGUUCUUUCAAGGUGCAACUUGAUGUCUGAUAACAACUACAUGUGGGUAGGGAUAAAUGGAGGAAGUCCCUUUGACCAAGCCAUGAUAGCUUGCUUGCUGGUCAUUUUUAAAUACUUGUAUAUAUGUGGGGUUUUUUUUGUUGUUUUUUUGUUUUUUCUGGAAACACAAACUGACUUGAAAUCUAUAAAGAUUGCAGCUAAGAAUUUUCAGUAGGGCUAAGAUCUAUCAUUGUGGAUGUUUAAAGGAAACACAUCUGUCUCAAUACUGUUAUUUUAAACUGAUUGAAAGCAACUGACUCUAAUCUUUGGCAAGAAAUCAUGCUUAGAGAUUAAAUCAACUAAACUUUCUGCAAGAAGGAUUCACUUGAACUCUCAGACCAAAUCAUGUUGAACAGAGACUAAUUUAUAAGAAAAGUUACAUUCCUUCAGUCAACUUAAGGGCCAGCUGUCCUCAACUACUCUGUUGAAUGCACUGGUCAAAUACGGGAAUGGUUUCUUUAUAUACUUUCUCCUGAUCCUCUGGACUAAGUGUUGGGUAUGUGAUUCACUGCAAAUCAUCAAGCAAGGCCUAGGUCUGGUUGUUCUAGAUUACUCACCUUCAACAAAUGAAAAUAAAAUAUGAAUGACUAGCCUGUUCGGAUAUACAAAUCUCAUUUGUAAAAGGGGGAAAAAAGGCUUCUAUAGACUCCAUUUCUGCUACCUUCAAAUUGCCAGCUGUUUUUCCUCUGCUUUUCCUGUACAAAAGAGACAGUGACCUACUACUCAUUCCCUCCAGUCCUGCUAUGUUCUGUUAAAAUGAGAGUUUGAAUCAUCAAAAAUAAUGUUUUAAAAAUUUGAUAAUCAUUUGCUCAAGUGUCUAAUGUAUACUGUGCAUAAGAAUAUAUGUGUGUAAUGAUUGGAAAAGCAGAAUUCCUAGAAGUUAGUGAAGCCUACCUAGUAUCGCUGCCUCAGAUAUCAUCUAACCUUUUAAUAGCACCAUUCAGAUACUCUGAGGCCUUGACUUAUAACUUGAUUCUCAGAGAUGGGCUUACUUACAGAAAAUGAAGACUUGCUACCAAAGAAAGUAAGGCCAACUUUGACAAACCUGGCUCUGCCAACCCUGUUCCUGGAUGUAGCAUAGAUUCCUAAACCUCAAGUCUAGAUUGGAAAUAUGGCCUUCUCCAGAAAGUUUCUGGGUAGAUGAGGAAAAUUAAGCUGCUCUACCUGACUGGCCCUUUAAAGUCAGAAACUUUUAUCCAGAGGAAGUUCUACAAAUUAACCCUGGACUCCCCAGGGUAAAAACUGAUUUAUAGAGCUUCAUUAUUUGCCUGUUCUUCCAGGUCAUUUCCUGGCUUUUGGUAUGGCUGGCCUUACUCGAGUUACCUUGCUUGUAUGUUUACCCAACUCAGCUGUUGCCUGCCAUUUUUAACACAUUGCUGCCAUCAGACUGAGCAUGAGAAGACUGCAGCCCAUUUCAGCCUAUCGUGCCCAAUUCCACCAAGAAUUUUUGAACAGAAAAAACCCACUCUUCACCCUGCCAGGACAUAAGGUUCACAACAGUAAAAACCAUUCUAUACGUUCCUUGACCAGUAAUUUUUUUUUUAACUGUCAAGUAAACCUCUAUACCUAACUGUGUUUGAGCAUCAGCACUUGGAACCUCUUCUACUAAAUCAAAACCAGUGUCCAUGUCUCUGCUACAGUGAUAAAAGAACCUGAUUCACCAGUCCUUCCUUACAGAACUACCAGUUUGAUUUGGCAAAAGACUUAAAGAAACACAACCAUACUACACUGAGCUUACAAUUAUUGCUGACUCUAAUAACUUCACAGUACUAUUUACUGGUUGGAGGUUAGUUGUCCUCAUCAAGAAGACAGUUGGGGUCUCAGCUCAUGAAAUGCUUUUACUGGAAUUCACUGUCAUCUAAAGAAUGUUACUGAAGAUGAUAUUUUCAUCCAAGUGGACUGCAGGCUUCCUAAAGAAGGACAAAUCCUCUGUGGUUCUUUUUGUUUGUUUGUUUUAGAAUUUUACUAGGAAGAAACAGUGCCAGCAUUACCAUUCACCUUCCUAAUCAGUUUUUAAGUGCAUUCAGUAUCUGGUCUUAUCCUGGACUUGAAAUUUUUUUAAUUGCUCAGUAUUCAUUCCAUCCUACUGUAACAGCUCCCUGGUGUUUCUUGAAACCACCUCUUCAGUUUUGCAGUCCAUGUACGUUAUAGACGGUCUCACCCAAACUUGAGCUUCAUUAACACAGACAUGUGAUUUAAUCAUCAGAUUCAUCUCCUUGACCAUAGUCAUUGGUUCCAGAAUGCUCAUGUGAUUCAAGUUGGUCCAGUGAUGCUCAAUUCUGGGAUUUUACUGAAUUGUGGAGAUGGAAAAAUGCUCCACUGAGAUACUACAGCUAUGGAGAAUGAUAAACCAACAGGGCUUACCACGUUGAAUGAGCCAGUCAGAGAAUGAAGCCGCACAGAGGAAAGCAGAACCAAAAGAUGGAGAGAGACUUGAGUCCUGAUGACUACAUUUGUGCCCCUGGAUCCAACCGUGCCUGAAGCUAGUAUAUCCCCUGGACUUUUCAGUUAUGUGACCCAAUAAAUAUCUUUUUUUUUUGCUUAA